RNAcentral lists this ribosomal RNA (438 nucleotides) under Botrytis cinerea. RNAcentral describes it as "eukaryotic LSU rRNA". The stretch from base 94 to 247 matches the Rfam family "5.8S ribosomal RNA". Lineage: Eukaryota; Fungi; Ascomycota; Leotiomycetes; Helotiales; Sclerotiniaceae. The record is from RNAcentral.
UGCUUUGGCGAGCUGCCUUCGGGCCUUGUAUGCUCGCCAGAGAAUACCAAAACUCUUUUUAUUAAUGUCGUCUGAGUACUAUAUAAUAGUUAAAACUUUCAACAACGGAUCUCUUGGUUCUGGCAUCGAUGAAGAACGCAGCGAAAUGCGAUAAGUAAUGUGAAUUGCAGAAUUCAGUGAAUCAUCGAAUCUUUGAACGCACAUUGCGCCCCUUGGUAUUCCGGGGGGCAUGCCUGUUCGAGCGUCAUUUCAACCCUCAAGCUUAGCUUGGUAUUGAGUCUAUGUCAGUAAUGGCAGGCUCUAAAAUCAGUGGCGGCGCCGCUGGGUCCUGAACGUAGUAAUAUCUCUCGUUACAGGUUCUCGGUGUGCUUCUGCCAAAACCCAAAUUUUUCUAUGGUUGACCUCGGAUCAGGUAGGGAUACCCGCUGAACUUAAGCA